This 253-nucleotide ribosomal RNA is filed under the name uncultured bacterium. RNAcentral describes it as "partial 16S ribosomal RNA". It matches the Rfam family "Bacterial small subunit ribosomal RNA", at positions 524 to 776 of the family's 1533-position model. The record is from RNAcentral.
UACAGAGGUGGCAAGCGUUGUUCGGAAUUACUGGGCGUAAAGGGCGCGUAGGCGGUUUUGUAAGUCAGACGUGAAAUCCCCAGGCUUAACUUGGGAACUGCGUCUGAUACUGCAAAACUUGAGUGCGGGAGAGGGAUGUGGAAUUCCAGGUGUAGCGGUGAAAUGCGUAGAGAUCGGGAGGAACAUCAGUUGCGAAGGCGGCUCUCUGGACCAGUACUGACGCUGAGGCACGAAAGCGUGGGGAGCAAACAGG